ACGCUUAAGCCCAUGUUGAAACACCGGUUCCCGUACGAUCACUGAAGUUAAGGAAAGUCGAGCCUGGUCAGUAGCUAGAUGAGUGACCACUUGGAA
This is a non-coding RNA of Acanthosepion pharaonis, 96 nucleotides long. The record is from the annotation of a GenBank genome assembly. NCBI's taxonomy places the organism in Eukaryota, Metazoa, Mollusca, Cephalopoda, Sepiida, Sepiidae.